RNAcentral lists this ribosomal RNA (2275 nucleotides) under Escherichia coli. RNAcentral describes it as "partial 23S ribosomal RNA". It matches the Rfam family "Bacterial large subunit ribosomal RNA", at positions 418 to 2678 of the family's 2925-position model. Lineage: Bacteria; Pseudomonadati; Pseudomonadota; Gammaproteobacteria; Enterobacterales; Enterobacteriaceae. The record is from RNAcentral.
CGGGACACGUGGUAUCCUGUCUGAAUAUGGGGGGACCAUCCUCCAAGGCUAAAUACUCCUGACUGACCGAUAGUGAACCAGUACCGUGAGGGAAAGGCGAAAAGAACCCCGGCGAGGGGAGUGAAAAAGAACCUGAAACCGUGUACGUACAAGCAGUGGGAGCACGCUUAGGCGUGUGACUGCGUACCUUUUGUAUAAUGGGUCAGCGACUUAUAUUCUGUAGCAAGGUUAACCGAAUAGGGGAGCCGAAGGGAAACCGAGUCUUAACUGGGCGUUAAGUUGCAGGGUAUAGACCCGAAACCCGGUGAUCUAGCCAUGGGCAGGUUGAAGGUUGGGUAACACUAACUGGAGGACCGAACCGACUAAUGUUGAAAAAUUAGCGGAUGACUUGUGGCUGGGGGUGAAAGGCCAAUCAAACCGGGAGAUAGCUGGUUCUCCCCGAAAGCUAUUUAGGUAGCGCCUCGUGAAUUCAUCUCCGGGGGUAGAGCACUGUUUCGGCAAGGGGGUCAUCCCGACUUACCAACCCGAUGCAAACUGCGAAUACCGGAGAAUGUUAUCACGGGAGACACACGGCGGGUGCUAACGUCCGUCGUGAAGAGGGAAACAACCCAGACCGCCAGCUAAGGUCCCAAAGUCAUGGUUAAGUGGGAAACGAUGUGGGAAGGCCCAGACAGCCAGGAUGUUGGCUUAGAAGCAGCCAUCAUUUAAAGAAAGCGUAAUAGCUCACUGGUCGAGUCGGCCUGCGCGGAAGAUGUAACGGGGCUAAACCAUGCACCGAAGCUGCGGCAGCGACGCUGAUGCGUUGUUGGGUAGGGGAGCGUUCUGUAAGCCUGUGAAGGUGUGCUGUGAGGCAUGCUGGAGGUAUCAGAAGUGCGAAUGCUGACAUAAGUAACGAUAAAGCGGGUGAAAAGCCCGCUCGCCGGAAGACCAAGGGUUCCUGUCCAACGUUAAUCGGGGCAGGGUGAGUCGACCCCUAAGGCGAGGCCGAAAGGCGUAGUCGAUGGGAAACAGGUUAAUAUUCCUGUACUUGGUGUUACUGCGAAGGGGGGACGGAGAAGGCUAUGUUGGCCGGGCGACGGUUGUCCCGGUUUAAGCGUGUAGGCUGGUUUUCCAGGCAAAUCCGGAAAAUCAAGGCUGAGGCGUGAUGACGAGGCACUACGGUGCUGAAGCAACAAAUGCCCUGCUUCCAGGAAAAGCCUCUAAGCAUCAGGUAACAUCAAAUCGUACCCCAAACCGACACAGGUGGUCAGGUAGAGAAUACCAAGGCGCUUGAGAGAACUCGGGUGAAGGAACUAGGCAAAAUGGUGCCGUAACUUCGGGAGAAGGCACGCUGAUAUGUAGGUGAAGCGACUUGCUCGUGGAGCUGAAAUCAGUCGAAGAUACCAGCUGGCUGCAACUGUUUAUUAAAAACACAGCACUGUGCAAACACGAAAGUGGACGUAUACGGUGUGACGCCUGCCCGGUGCCGGAAGGUUAAUUGAUGGGGUCAGCGCAAGCGAAGCUCUUGAUCGAAGCCCCGGUAAACGGCGGCCGUAACUAUAACGGUCCUAAGGUAGCGAAAUUCCUUGUCGGGUAAGUUCCGACCUGCACGAAUGGCGUAAUGAUGGCCAGGCUGUCUCCACCCGAGACUCAGUGAAAUUGAACUCGCUGUGAAGAUGCAGUGUACCCGCGGCAAGACGGAAAGACCCCGUGAACCUUUACUAUAGCUUGACACUGAACAUUGAGCCUUGAUGUGUAGGAUAGGUGGGAGGCUUUGAAGUGUGGACGCCAGUCUGCAUGGAGCCGGCCUUGAAAUACCACCCUUUAAUGUUUGAUGUUCUAACGUUGACCCGUGAUCCGGGUUGCGGACAGUGUCUGGUGGGUAGUUUGACUGGGGCGGUCUCCUCCUAAAGAGUAACGGAGGAGCACGAAGGUUGGCUAAUCCUGGUCGGACAUCAGGAGGUUAGUGCAAUGGCAUAAGCCAGCUUGACUGCGAGCGUGACGGCGCGAGCAGGUGCGAAAGCAGGUCAUAGUGAUCCGGUGGUUCUGAAUGGAAGGGCCAUCGCUCAACGGAUAAAAGGUACUCCGGGGAUAACAGGCUGAUACCGCCCAAGAGUUCAUAUCGACGGCGGUGUUUGGCACCUCGAUGUCGGCUCAUCACAUCCUGGGGCUGAAGUAGGUCCCAAGGGUAUGGCUGUUCGCCAUUUAAAGUGGUACGCGAGCUGGGUUUAGAACGUCGUGAGACAGUUCGGUCCCUAUCUGCCGUGGGCGCUGGAGAACUGAGGGGGGCUGCUCC